UCGUACCGACAACACCCUCCUCGACAUCCAGAACACGCAAGCAGAACAUGGAAGACUCCUGGAAGAGCAACAAAAAUGGAACCAGGACCAUGCCGCUGCAGUAGAAGAGCUGAGACAAGAUACAACAACAAUGAACGACAACAUCACAACCAUGAUGCGGUUGUGGAACAUCGGGUAAGACCGACGUCAACAUCCAGCUUGGGGGAGUUCCUCCCCAAUUUAUCAAGUAAGUUUUUAUUUUG
Molecule: long non-coding RNA, 242 nt
Filed under: Sorghum bicolor (sorghum)
Lineage: Eukaryota; Viridiplantae; Streptophyta; Magnoliopsida; Poales; Poaceae
Description: long non-coding RNA (SBIC_LNC003110)
Source: RNAcentral